CUAAAAAUAGAAAAGAAUCAAGCUCUACAAAGCGUGGUCCUUCAAAGUUUGAAAUAGUGGAGAAGGCUCAGAAACGUGCUCGACGGGUGUGAUGAGCAUAAUGAUUUGCCAAAGAAACUUUUUGUUAAUAAUAGCUUAGAUGUGUAAAGAACACAUUAAGGUUGGAGUGCAUGGGUUUCAUAUCUUUU
Non-coding RNA from Malus domestica (apple), 188 nucleotides. The record is from RefSeq and is a predicted model, not a curated record. Lineage: Eukaryota; Viridiplantae; Streptophyta; Magnoliopsida; Rosales; Rosaceae.